Molecule: ribosomal RNA, 279 nt
Filed under: uncultured Staphylococcus sp.
Lineage: Bacteria; Bacillati; Bacillota; Bacilli; Caryophanales; Staphylococcaceae
Description: partial 16S ribosomal RNA
Rfam family: Bacterial small subunit ribosomal RNA
Source: RNAcentral
CCUUUGACGUUAGCGGCGGACGGGUGAGUAACACGUGGGUAACCUACCUAUAAGACUGGGAUAACUUCGGGAAACCGGAGCUAAUACCGGAUAAUAUUUCGAACCGCAUGGUUCGAUAGUGAAAGAUGGUUUUGCUAUCACUUAUAGAUGGACCCGCGCCGUAUUAGCUAGUUGGUAAGGUAACGGCUUACCAAGGCGACGAUACGUAGCCGACCUGAGAGGGUGAUCGGCCACACUGGAACUGAGACACGGUCCAGACUCCUACGGGAGGCAGCAGUU